ACAAAAUUGAUAGUAUAGGUAUUCUAUCUAGUCCUUCGUGUAGCUCGGUGAAUGUGAUGAAUACUUUCAACCCUAACCCUCGGCGUAGACGCAGUCAUCAUCGUCAUUAUACAUCACCUACUCUGCAUGAUGUAUCGAUUAAUGACUUGCUGCCGUUUAUACAAAAGCCGUAAGGUACUCAUCACAUUCGCAAUAAAAUUUAUUCAUUACCCCUUUAAAAACUUCAUUUUCUGUGCAAUUUAUGUUUAGAAUCCACUGUUACAAACCCUCAUUCAAAC
Molecule: long non-coding RNA, 278 nt
Filed under: Mytilus galloprovincialis (Mediterranean mussel)
Lineage: Eukaryota; Metazoa; Mollusca; Bivalvia; Mytilida; Mytilidae
Source: RNAcentral